UAGAGAAUUGCCCAAAACCUCAAGUGUUUA
RNAcentral lists this non-coding RNA (30 nucleotides) under Rattus norvegicus (Norway rat). The record is from RNAcentral. Lineage: Eukaryota; Metazoa; Chordata; Mammalia; Rodentia; Muridae.